UACAAACUAGACAGCUUUUGCGAAUUGACC
This 30-nucleotide non-coding RNA is filed under the name Mus musculus (house mouse). The record is from RNAcentral. Lineage: Eukaryota; Metazoa; Chordata; Mammalia; Rodentia; Muridae.